Molecule: ribosomal RNA, 253 nt
Filed under: uncultured bacterium
Lineage: Bacteria
Description: partial 16S ribosomal RNA
Rfam family: Bacterial small subunit ribosomal RNA
Source: RNAcentral
UACGAAGGGGGCUAGCGUUGUUCGGAAUUACUGGGCGUAAAGCGUGCGCAGGCGGCUUCUCAAGUCAGGGGUGAAAGCCCUGAGCUCAACUCUGGAAUUGCCUUUGAGACUGAGUGGCUUGAGUACGGGAGAGGUGAGUGGAAUUCCCAGUGUAGAGGUGAAAUUCGUAGAUAUUGGGAAGAACACCGGUGGCGAAGGCGGCUCACUGGCCCGUAACUGACGCUCAUGCACGACAGCGUGGGGAUCAAACAGG